Vidua macroura (Pin-tailed whydah) is the source of this 1099-nucleotide long non-coding RNA. RefSeq lists it as uncharacterized. The transcript has 3 exons. The record is from RefSeq and is a predicted model, not a curated record. Lineage: Eukaryota; Metazoa; Chordata; Aves; Passeriformes; Viduidae.
GGAAAUCCAGGGAGUGGAGAUACCUAGAUCAAGUCUGAGGGGCAAAGAAAAAGCAAGGAAGAUAAGAAAUUAAUGAUAACAUAUAGGAACUGCACAAAAUGUUAAAACUCACUGCUAAUCAGAAAAUAACAGUUCAAAGCCGACAACAUGAGGAUGACAAACACACAAGGAAUUGCAACUACGUUCCAUGGUGUAGUUUUCAGAAACCUCCAUUAUCUGCAAUGCAGUCCAUUCUGCUGGAACCAGCUACUCCUUGCAAACAGAAGAGGCAAAGAUUUAUUAUCAUCAGAACACAUGGAUAUUAGAAAAUGGACUAAUGGAAACCAUUAAUGUCCUCCUCUCAACAAUCAGAUGAGUGGUAGAUCAAUGCAGUAUAUAAAUAUAUUGGAAAUUAUUUAAGAUGAUAAAAACAUUAAGUCUCAGAUAUUUGAUGGGAGGAAAGCAAGCAAGACAAGGACAACACUCUAACACACCGCUGCACCUAAGAAAAAAAAACCCACCAUAUUUUAAGACAUAUUUUCUGUAUAGGAUUUUGAUCUCUUUAAAGAGAUAAUAUUGAAAAACUGCUCUGCACUCUUCCAUAAUAUCAUCUAACUUUGAUAUUAAACAGUUUAUCUCCUUAGAAAGCAUCCUUAUUGCCUGUAACAUGAAUACAUGAAUAAAUUCAUUGUAUUCUACAGGUAAAAUAAUAAUACUCAGAGUUUGCAGACAAUAAUUGGUUUUUUUUUAGUAUCAAUGACUCUUUUGUUUGCAGCUUGUGUAUAACACUGUAAAAAGAAAUUAUUAAAUAUGAUUGAUAUAACAGUUGCAGUUGCAUUACCCACACUCAUUCUAUAUAAACCUCAAAGGAAAACCUCAAAGAAGGGAAGAAGAAAACUAUAAAGGAAAAUAACUGCACAAGUACUUUAUAUUAGCCUGGCAUCAUGCAUAAAAAUAAUAUAAUGUUUGUAAGUGAAUGAUUCUUAAGCUUUAGGGAAUAACUGAAUUUUUUAUGCGGUCACAUUUCUUGGAAAAUAUCAGAAGCCUUAGGAUUCAAGAAAUUUUCCUUCUCAGCUAAAAUUUUGCAAAGGUCAGUCCAUUCCCAUUUUCAGGACUUAAU